GAUGAACGCUAGCGGCAGGCCUAACACAUGCAAGUCGAGGGGCAGCAUACCCGGUGACGGGUGAUGGCGACCGGCGUAAGGGUGAGUAACGCGUGAGCAACAUACCCGUAUCAGUGGGAUAAUACAGGGAAACUUGUUCUAAUAUCACAUAAUAUUAUACAGAGGCAUCUUUGUAUAAUUAAAGUUCAGGCGGAUACGGAAUGGCUCGCGUGACAUUAGCUAGAUGGUAGGGUAAAGGCCUACCAUGGCUAUGAUGUCUAGGGGUUCUGAGAGGGAGGUCCCCCACACUGGAACUGAGACACGGUCCAGACUCCUACGGGAGGCAGCAGUGAGGAAUAUUGGACAAUGGAUGAAAAUCUGAUCCAGCCAUGCCGCGUGCAGGAAGGCGGCCCUAUGGGUUGUAAACUGCUUUUGUACGGGAGCAAUAAGGUCUACGAGUAGAUUGAUGAGAGUACUGUACGAAUAAGCAUCGGCUAACUCCG
Molecule: ribosomal RNA, 482 nt
Filed under: uncultured bacterium
Lineage: Bacteria
Description: bacterial SSU rRNA
Rfam family: Bacterial small subunit ribosomal RNA
Source: RNAcentral